This is a non-coding RNA of Pelobates cultripes (western spadefoot toad), 480 nucleotides long. NCBI's taxonomy places the organism in Eukaryota, Metazoa, Chordata, Amphibia, Anura, Pelobatidae. The record is from the annotation of a GenBank genome assembly.
CGGCUAGAUUGUGGAAAAGGGCAAGGGCCCAAGUUGAUUCUGAGUCUGAUCUCAGCGACAUUGAGGAGGAGGCUUCUGUUGUUUCGGAAGAUCCAUCGGAUCCCGACUCAGAUUGCCCGGCCGGGGACUACGACCAUUCUCAGGACUACAGUCCGCUCCAGUCUGACAUGCCUGUUGUAGACCACAAGGCACAAAGGGAUGUAGAUAUGAUUGUGGAUCAACACGGUGAACCCCUGUUUGAUCCCGACCUCUUACGCCACCCACGGUCGGCGGAAUGGUCCCCCCCAGAACAUGUGGCCAAAUAUAUAGCGUCUAGGGUACGCAAGCCUUUAGAAAAGGCGACACGGAAUAAACUACGGGCAGAAUGCCCGCGCCCCACAGUCCCAGAUGAUGCCUGCAGCACACCUGCAGUUGACCCAAAGAUUACCCAAUUCUUGGGAAAGACAGGCUGGAAGCCCAACAAAGGCUUGGAGUUUGCCC